CUGAAAGUCCACUGCACAACGAACGAGGUCUUUUUUAUGAUUUGCAGCAAGGAAUAUCUAAUCGAUCUCUUGGCGCUUCUGUAUUCGGAUCCAGCCAAAAGUUAACACCUGAUUUUUCAGUUCCUAUCAAAUUUACUGCAGCUGAUAUGUCCUUAUCCACUUUGUACCUGCAUGAGCUUCAUCAAAAACAAAUAAGAAGAAGAGGUUACCAAGAAAUGGCUACAAGAAGUUUAUGGCAACGGAGCCCAGUUCAAGAACUGUCUACAUUAUCUGAAGUAA
Long non-coding RNA from Cotesia glomerata, 279 nucleotides. RefSeq lists it as uncharacterized. The transcript has 2 exons. The record is from RefSeq and is a predicted model, not a curated record. Lineage: Eukaryota; Metazoa; Arthropoda; Insecta; Hymenoptera; Braconidae.